RNAcentral lists this long non-coding RNA (855 nucleotides) under Carassius auratus (goldfish). RNAcentral's name for it is "lncRNA (ENSCARG00000012417.1)". Lineage: Eukaryota; Metazoa; Chordata; Actinopteri; Cypriniformes; Cyprinidae. The record is from RNAcentral.
GGGUAGUUAUCAUCUUCUUUUAUAUUCUGUUUUAUGUACAAACGUCCGUUUUUUAUUAUUAUUAUUUAUCGUUACACUCACCAGAGGGCGGAAUUGAGACAUGCAUGACCUUUUCAUGUUUUCUCCAAGCAGCACCUCACUUUUGUUAAACUGAUGACACUUUCUGUUUGUAGGUGAAGAGCAAUAAGAAACAGCCGUAAGGCCACUCGUAAUCACUGAUGGCUUGGUUUUACCCUCUGUAAAGAACUCAGAAUGAGAAAUAUGAAGAUUCCAGAACUGCUGUUGUUUGCAAUGGCAGCAUUGCACUGUGGGAUAACAGAAGAAAUAGACUUUAUUAUGGGUAACUGUAAUGAUGUCAUCAGACUUCCUUGUACAGCUACUGACCAAACAAAAACCUACCGUUACGUCAUGUGGUAUAAAAAUGAUAAUGUUCCUAUCAUCAAGAGGAAAAAAGAUGAAUAUGCAUACUAUAACUUGACCAACAUUUCUCUGGAAGAUAAAGAGACCCUGGUGUUAAAAAAUACGCAACCUUCAGACUCUGGAGAAUAUAAAUGCUUCCUGGCUGCAGAGGUUGGAGGUCAAAAUGAUGAGUCUAUAGUUGGAUUGAAUAUCUCAGAAUGUUUGGAUGUGAGCACAGUUUAUCCCAUCACCACCAUGAUCCCUGCUGAAUCCUGUCCUGCUGUAGAAGAAUUAACUGUUCCCUGGGCUGUGAUUGGCUUUUCUCUUAUUAGCAUCACCAAAAUUAUUCUUUGCAUUGUAACCGUGGGGGUGUGUGAUCGAGUCAUAUUUAGAACAGUAAGAAGAAAACAGGAAGGAAGGGGAAGCAAGACUGGAAGGUCAAGCUGGAAAGACUGA